UGUUUGAAAACGAAUAGUUAGUUUUAUUACUACACUUCCAAAUUGAAAAAUGUUUAAAUGAGUGACAGCUUUAUACAAAUUGACUUACAUUAUAACAUGCACGGAUAAUCGUGUUUUCUCAACUGACAAUUCACUUGACAUUGACAAGCAUCGCGUACGCGCAUGAUUCAGUGAAUUUAGUGAACAUACAAACUAAGUCGAAGAAAAAUACUGAUUUGCUGUGUGAACUAAAGGAAAUGCCACCCAAAAUGUAAGUUUCUCUAAUUUAUUUAUAGAAAAAGUUAUAGUUCGUUUGAUCAUUAACUGGUUUUGUCAUGAAUAUGUUUAAUUUCAGACGAUGCUUCGGCGCACAAGAAAAUGCUAGCCAAAUAUAUAUAACUCAGCAUCCCCUGUUCGCCUACACCUACAGGGAGAUCCAUGAGCCUCUCGGAAGCCAGAGAUACAAAAUGCAAUGCUUCACAUUGCACAUAACUUCUAAGAUCCAGAAGAAAGGAUUGAAGAUGGUCCGUCGGGCCUGGGCAUUAUGAUCAUCGAGGGGCGGCACACGGAAGCCGGCCGAGGAAUCUUCGUCUCCGACUUACAAGAAGGCAGCGCUGCCGAACAGUCAUGACAUAUUGGAGGCUUGAAAGUGCACAUACCCAUACAUUGGACGUUAAGCUCAACGAGACCAUGCGAUGCAUCUCAGGCACUAUCCGAUCUACAACCGCCACUGGCUGCCGGCAUUGAGUCACAUUGCCCCUCCUCACAUCCGACGACUCAAGGCGUUGAAGAGGGAGGCUGAGAAUAUCACGAAUAACCCCACCCUGACCCUGUGCUACAGCUGGGAGCCUGAGCAGCUUUAAUAUUUCGGAUAGGUGGA
Long non-coding RNA from Cydia splendana, 859 nucleotides. RefSeq lists it as uncharacterized. The record is from RefSeq and is a predicted model, not a curated record. NCBI's taxonomy places the organism in Eukaryota, Metazoa, Arthropoda, Insecta, Lepidoptera, Tortricidae. The transcript is spliced from 3 exons.